This 88-nucleotide ribosomal RNA is filed under the name Phoxinus phoxinus (Eurasian minnow). RNAcentral describes it as "partial 5.8S ribosomal RNA". The stretch from base 15 to 88 matches the Rfam family "5.8S ribosomal RNA", at positions 1 to 74 of the family's 154-position model. Rfam says of the family: 5.8S ribosomal RNA (5.8S rRNA) is a component of the large subunit of the eukaryotic ribosome. It is transcribed by RNA polymerase I as part of the 45S precursor that also contains 18S and 28S rRNA. Functionally, it is thought that 5.8S rRNA may be involved in ribosome translocation. The record is from RNAcentral. Lineage: Eukaryota; Metazoa; Chordata; Actinopteri; Cypriniformes; Leuciscidae.
ACACUCAAGUGUACAACUCUUAGCGGUGGAUCACUCGGCUCGUGAGUCGAUGAAGAACGCAGCCAGCUGCGAGAACUAAUGUGAAUUG